AAAUCAAUGUGCCCUGUUGAGGAGCUGCAAGACAAAUCGUCCAAUUGUUGAGACACCAAAGUGCUCCUUAACACGAAGCCAUUUAGCUGUCCUGUAAUGCUCGUUGAAGUAGCUUAUUUGCGGGAGGGAGGUGUGUGCAUCAGACGAGGACCUAUACGUAUUUUUAUCUUGUUCCCCAGAACAUGGUUUGCCUCUCUGUGCAUGGAUGACUGAUUUCUAUGGACCCGUACUUCUCGUUUCCAGGUAGCUCUUCCUCCUUUUGCUUAGGCUGCCUCAAAAGACUCAAGGCAUGCCCCAGAAAUGGGUUUCGAAUCGCCUGCUUUACAGCCACACCCAGACAUCCUGCGGCAGCUCAGCUCAGCACAUUCAGAACCAGAUUUGUGAUUGUCUCCCUCCAGCCUGCUCCCGUUUCUGUUACGGUUAUCAUGAUCUGUCUCUGUGAACCUUCAAGUGUAAGUCUUCUCUCCUCU
Molecule: long non-coding RNA, 470 nt
Filed under: Rattus norvegicus (Norway rat)
Lineage: Eukaryota; Metazoa; Chordata; Mammalia; Rodentia; Muridae
Description: long non-coding RNA NONRATT009592
Source: RNAcentral